UUGGAGGGCAAGUCUGGUGCCAGCAGCCGCGGUAAUUCCAGCUCCAAUAGCGUAUAUUAAAGUUGUUGCAGUUAAAAAGCUCGUAGUUGAAUUUCGGGACCAAGAUGUCGGUCGUGCCUCAGUACGUACUGGCAUCGUUGGUUUCUCCCUUCUGACGAACCAUGAUGUCAUUUAUUUGGUGUCGUGGGGAAUCGGGACUGUUACUUUGAAAAAAUUAGAGUGUUCAAAGCAGGCGUUAUAUGCUCGAAUACAUUAGCAUGGAAUAAUGGAAUAGGACGAUGGUUCUAUUUUGUUGGUUCUAGGACCGUUGUAAUGAUUAAUAGGGAUAGUUGGGGGCAUUAGUAUUCAAUUGUCAGAGGUGAAAUUCUUGGAUUUAUUGAAGACUAACUACUGCGAAAGCAUUUGCCAAGGAUGUUUUCAUUAAUCAAGAACGAAAGUUAGGGGAUCGAAGACGAUCAGAUACCGUCGUAGUCUUAACCAUAAACUAUGCCGACUAGGGAUCGGAUGAUGUUAAUUUUUUAAUGACUCAUUCGGCGCCUUACGGGAAAC
Molecule: ribosomal RNA, 549 nt
Filed under: uncultured Glomus
Lineage: Eukaryota; Fungi; Glomeromycota; Glomeromycetes; Glomerales; Glomeraceae
Description: SSU rRNA
Rfam family: Eukaryotic small subunit ribosomal RNA
Source: RNAcentral